Molecule: ribosomal RNA, 497 nt
Filed under: uncultured bacterium
Lineage: Bacteria
Description: partial 16S ribosomal RNA
Rfam family: Bacterial small subunit ribosomal RNA
Source: RNAcentral
GAUGAACGCUGGCGGCGUGCCUAAUACAUGCAAGUCGAGCGAACAGACGAGGAGCUUGCUCCUCUGACGUUAGCGGCGGACGGGUGAGUAACACGUGGAUAACCUACCUAUAAGACUGGGAUAACUUCGGGAAACCGGAGCUAAUACCGGAUAAUAUAUUGAACCGCAUGGUUCAAUAGUGAAAGACGGUUUUGCUGUCACUUAUAGAUGGAUCCGCGCCGCAUUAGCUAGUUGGUAAGGUAACGGCUUACCAAGGCAACGAUGCGUAGCCGACCUGAGAGGGUGAUCGGCCACACUGGAACUGAGACACGGUCCAGACUCCUACGGGAGGCAGCAGUAGGGAAUCUUCCGCAAUGGGCGAAAGCCUGACGGAGCAACGCCGCGUGAGGGAUGAAGGUCUUCGGAUCGUAAAACUCUGUUAUUAGGGAAGAACAAAUGUGUAAGUAACUAUGCACGUCUUGACGGUACCUAAUCAGAAAGCCACGGCUAACUACGUG